RNAcentral lists this ribosomal RNA (441 nucleotides) under uncultured bacterium. RNAcentral describes it as "bacterial SSU rRNA". It matches the Rfam family "Bacterial small subunit ribosomal RNA", at positions 340 to 773 of the family's 1533-position model. The record is from RNAcentral.
UACGGAAGGCAGCAGUGGGGAAUAUUGCACAAUGGGCGCAAGCCUGAUGCAGCCAUGCCGCGUGUAUGAAAAAGGGCCUUCGGGUUGUAAAGUACUUUCAGUCGUGAGGAAGGUGUUAAGGUUAAUAACCUUAGCAAUUGACGUUAGCGACAGAAGAAGCACCGGCUAACUCCGUGCCAGCAGCCGCGGUAAUACGGAGGGUGCGAGCGUUAAUCGGAAUUACUGGGCGUAAAGGGCACGCAGGCGGUUAAUUAAGUUGGAUGUGAAAUCCCCGGGCUUAACCUGGGAAUGGCAUUCAAGACUGGUUAGCUAGAGUCUUGUAGAGGGGGUAGAAUUCCAUGUGUAGCGGUGAAAUGCGUAGAGAUGUGGAGGAAUACCGGUGGCGAAGGCGGCCCCUGGACAAAGGACUGACGCUCAUGUGCGAAAGCGUGGGGAGCAAAC